This 484-nucleotide ribosomal RNA is filed under the name uncultured bacterium. RNAcentral describes it as "partial 16S ribosomal RNA". It matches the Rfam family "Bacterial small subunit ribosomal RNA", at positions 30 to 507 of the family's 1533-position model. The record is from RNAcentral.
AUUGAACGCUGGCGGCAGGCCUAACACAUGCAAGUCGAGCGGAUGAAGGGAGCUUGCUCCUGGAUUCAGCGGCGGACGGGUGAGUAAUGCCUAGGAAUCUGCCUGGUAGUGGGGGAUAACGUCCGGAGACGGGCGCUAAUACCGCAUACGUCCUUAGGGAGAAAGUGGGGGAUCUUCGGACCUCACGCUAUCAGAUGAGCCUAGGUCGGAUUAGCUAGUUGGUGGGGUAAAGGCCUACCAAGGCGACGAUCCGUAACUGGUCUGAGAGGAUGAUCAGUCACACUGGAACUGAGACACGGUCCAGACUCCUACGGGAGGCAGCAGUGGGGAAUAUUGGACAAUGGGCGAAAGCCUGAUCCAGCCAUGCCGCGUGUGUGAAGAAGGUCUUCGGAUUGUAAAGCACUUUAAGUUGGGAGGAAGGGAAGUAAGUUAAUACCUUGCUGUUUUGACGUUACCAACAGAAUAAGCACCGGCUAACUUCGUG